This 173-nucleotide ribosomal RNA is filed under the name Mycolicibacterium fortuitum. RNAcentral describes it as "partial 16S ribosomal RNA". It matches the Rfam family "Bacterial small subunit ribosomal RNA", at positions 60 to 235 of the family's 1533-position model. The record is from RNAcentral. Lineage: Bacteria; Bacillati; Actinomycetota; Actinomycetes; Mycobacteriales; Mycobacteriaceae.
AGUUCGAACGGAAAGGCCCUUUCGGGGUACUCGAGUGGCGAACGGGUGAGUAACACGUGGGUGAUCUGCCCUGCACUUUGGGAUAAGCCUGGGAAACUGGGUCUAAUACCGAAUAUGACCGCGCUCUUCAUGGGGUGUGGUGGAAAGCUUUUGCGGUGUGGGAUGGGCCCGCG